GAAUAGUUCAAUUCCAAAUGAGAAGAUUCUAUUCAUCUCUGAAGAGACAUUUCAUCGAACAGGUACAGUGCUCCUCCAUCACCUCCCCAGCUUAAACCCCUCCGCCGCUCACCUCCAAAAAAUGCAUGGCCUCAACUCCUCUCUCCGCCUCCUUACAUCCAAAUUCUUCUCCACGCAGCCCAAUCUCCAUUGCGCCGGCCCCACGGCGUGUCUCUUAAAAACCCGAUCCAUAAUCCGGUUCAGCGGACCCGAAACCUUCAAGUUCCUCCAAGGUCUCCUCACCAACGACGUCCGGAGCUUGGACGAUCCGCAAACUGCGGCGGCGCCGGUGUACGCCGCGAUGCUGACUCCUCAAGGGAGGUUUCUCUACGAUUUUUUCUUGUACAGACCGCCCCGCCCCGACCCGGGUGAGCUGGAGGUUUAUGCGGAUGUGGAUGGAUCCGUCGUCGACGAGCUCUUGGCUGCCUUGAAAAAAUAUCGUUUGAGGUCCAAGGUCGAUAUUGAGAAUGUCGGGGAGGAUUUUUCGUGCUGGCAACGGUUUGGUCGGGGCCUUGAACUUGACUCUUCGCAGGGAAAUAACAUUGGUUGGAAUUGGCAUAACGAUCCACGACUGACUUGUCUAGGAUAUAGGGGCAUCUUUCCAUCUAAUGCAACACCGCCUCUAGUCGAGGAGGACAAGGAAACGGAUGAACGAAACUUUCUUCUUUGGAGAUUAGAGAAGGGAGUUGCAGAAGGCUCUUCUGAGAUUCCAAAGGGUGAGGCAAUACCACUUGAAUACAAUCUUGUUGGUCUAAAUGCUAUAAGCUUUGACAAGGGAUGUUAUGUUGGCCAAGAACUUGUUGCUCGUACACAUCACCGUGGAGUAAUCCGAAAACGUUUGAUUCCUGUUCGAUUCUUGAGUAUUAGCGCAAAAGAGGCGGAGCAACAAGUAUCUCCAGGUUCGGAAGUGAUAGGCAGUGCGUCUAAAAAGAAAGCCGGGACGGUCACGACUGCCCUUGGGUCUUGUGGUUUGGCACUCGUGCGCUUGGAGGAAGCUUUCAAAGAGACGGGUGCCUUGACCAUCAAUGGCCGGGAAGAUAUCAAAGUCGAGACUAUUAGGCCAAAAUGGUGGCCUCCGGAGUGGUUUCUUCAUCAGCAACAGAAGAUGUAGGAUUUGUAUGCGACUUCGCAGCAGGGAACUUUUGCAAUAUGAAUCAGAAGCUCAAGAUCAUCAGGAAGUCGUACAAGCAUCCCGGAAAGGCGAAUUACGUUGUCGUAUUUGCACAAGUCCUCCAUAACCGGUUUUUCUUCGGCUGCAGCAAACAUAAAAUGAAGUUGAGAUAUCACCGCAGGAACCCCUAUUGAAAUGAUGGAGUUGUUAAGAUAUUCUUCCAUGCUUGGUGUAUAUCCUCUGUGGUACCACUUUGCCUCUUGUAAAUAUGCUUCAACCAAAUCCACCCACUGCAGUCAACAACAAUCCAGGUGUAUAUAAUAUAAUCAUUGAUGGAUCCAGGAAAUGGAAUUCGUAGGGUCACAUUGGAAUCGUCUAAUUUUACCGCUCUGUGUAGACAUGUGAUAUCAUCUUCUUUAGAAAUAUCACGUGCUAAUUCGGAAACAAAGUUGUGGAUUACGGAAUAAAACA
Molecule: non-coding RNA, 1621 nt
Organism: Salvia hispanica
Lineage: Eukaryota; Viridiplantae; Streptophyta; Magnoliopsida; Lamiales; Lamiaceae
Source: RefSeq, a predicted model, not a curated record